GGUAUGCUGGUAAGUGAAUUUGGAUAAAAAUACUAUGAAACAUGUUGUGCUUCAACACCCUCUCAAUAUAUUGAUAACGUAUUUAUGCUAUUUGCCUGUUUUAUUCUAUGUCCUUGUUUUAUAGUCACAUUUAUCACGUGCUUCCUACAUCUUCGUAUUUUGUAGUAACCCAUGGUGCCAAUCGACCUCUGACGAAAAGAUCCGAAAUGAAUGGAUUGCCAAUAUGCAACUCGUUUAGCUGAUUGAUUGGUUUAUCCGUCACGUUGAUGAAGAUACUGAUCAAUGCAAACAUUGAUGAAGAAGUUCCAGCUGCACCAAAAACUACAAGUCGUAGGAAAAGGGGGAUCAUAUCUAAUCUCUAAAUGCCUGGCUCAUUGGGAGAACUACCCGUCCAAAGAAAAAAACAGAAGUUACUUUUGGAUUCAUUUAAGUUCUUUAAAAAGAGAUUUCAAUCAAUAUCUGUGGAGAUCCUUGAGGUCUUGAGGUCAUACAACAAAAGCAAGAAGUUGAAGUGAAAAUCGGUGAAGCUCCCUCUUUCCACAUCUGUAGGAAAUGACUCAGGGAAAU
Long non-coding RNA from Saccostrea cuccullata (small rock oyster), 567 nucleotides. RefSeq lists it as uncharacterized. NCBI's taxonomy places the organism in Eukaryota, Metazoa, Mollusca, Bivalvia, Ostreida, Ostreidae. The record is from RefSeq and is a predicted model, not a curated record. The transcript is spliced from 4 exons.